AUGGUUCGCACGCGGUCGUCGCGAUUUUCCUUUCUUGAGAGUUAAUUCGGUAACGCGUAUUACUUUCGGUGUUCUUUGUGAUUAUUUUUUCUUAUUGUGUCUCGCUAAUGAUUUAUCGCUUAUAAGAUGUUCGCGAAAUGCAAAUAUUAUGUAUUUGCUUGUGCCGACGGAUGCCGUUUACGAUGGAAGUUUUACAAUACUGACCAGUAAAGUUAUGUUGCCGUUUUUGUUCUGCGAUGUCCGUUUUCUUGCGUGGGUCGUCGUCGUUAGGGCAUUUCCAUUCCGAGGCGGGUUAUGGGUUCUAUGAGCGUGAUUGCUUUUCCUUCAGGUAGGGUGCUAGCCUCGUCUGGAGACCCUCCUCCUUUUUCACCCGGGCUUGGGACCGUCGUUGGCGGAGAGUUUGCUAGGUGAAUCAAAUAAAUAUCGCCUCCAUAUUGAUUUAUACAUUAUGAGGAAGACCCAUCGUGCUGGUGUAAGUACCUAACUUUGAACAAUUAUUUAACUAUUUACUUAACUAUUAUAUUAAAUUAUUUUAAAUUAUUAACUGAUAGAGAAUUUCCCAAUCUUUCAUAUGUUUUGAUCCGUUGAUCGCUUGCAAUUUUAGUUUAAAAGAGGACACGUAUUCAGGGCACCGUACAAGGGCAGCAAUAAAAGUGACUCGUGUUCAGGUCACCGUAUGAGGUUAGCGGUAGAAGUGGCUCGUAUUCAAGCCACCGUACCAGGGCAGCGGUAGAAGUGACUCGUGUUCAGGGCACCGUACAAGGACAGCGGUAGAAGUGACUCGUGUUCAGGGCACCGUACGAGGGUAGCGGUAGAAGUGACUCGUGUUCAGGGCACCGUACAAGGACAGCGGUAGAAGUGACUCGUAUUCAGGGCACCGUACAAAGGCAGCGGUAGAAGUGACUCGUGUUCAGGGCCCAGUACAAGGGUAGCGGUAGAAGUGACUCAUAUUCAGAUACUCAUGUCGCGAAUUUUCCAAUCUUCCAUAAUCUACAAUUUUCUGCGAUUACAUCCUACUUAUCUCUUUUAGUUUACGAGAUAUUCGCAAUUGAAAUAAAUCGUCAAAAAAACUUGUUUUUUUAGCACUUUCAGUAGCGUUUUUAAACCUUUUAUCCCAUUAACUUAAAUUAUUUUAAAUUUCCAUUUGAUAGAUAAUUUUUCAAUAUUCCAUAAUCUAUAAUUUUUAGUUGCUAUCUCUUUUAGUAUAGAAGAUAUUCUCUAUUGAAAAUCGACAAUUAAAAUUAUCAAGGACCCCCUUCUUCCUUCUUCCCUCUUGCCCCCUUGGCCCGCUAGAGUAAAAUAGAAUUGUAAUAAAUAAAAAGUGGGCGUCUGUUUUAAAGUACGAGUAUUACGGUGCGAAUGACUAGCAGCUUUCACUAUUUCACUAUUUGUUUGUGUUGUUUCAUUAACAUGGAAAACCAAAAAAAUGAGAAACAUGUUUAGCUAAAUAACUAUUGUAGCGGUUAUGUAGCCAGCUCCACAUUAUACUAACAGUUUCGUAUGCUUUUAUUAUUUGAGAAUAAAUUAAUUAAGUUUAGACAUUUGAUUCCAAAGACAUUUGUCAUGUAUCGCUACGAAGAAUUAACGCGUCUUCUAAAGAGUGACAUUUAUUGAUUUUGUUAAUGUUUUUGUAUUUUGUAGGACGAACUUGGAUACAGCUUCAAAAUUUAGGUAACGAUUUGUAUUUUAUUGAAUAUUUAUAUGUUAGAUGCGUUUGCUAAUAUUGAUUGUAUUCUCUACGUGACUGCGUCAAUCGCGUUUACCUUUUUUAUGUCCUCUGUCGUUGCCCCGAACGUAUCGUAAUACUGAUAGUGACCACGUGUUGUCGCCGUGAGCUGUGCACACGCAGUUCCAUUCCGGUUGCCGCGAGUGUCGCGCGUGUUCAUCACUUGAUUCUCGAACAAUCUCGUUAAUAAGAAAAUUGAUCGAUUUUCAAUACACAAUCGGCAGUACAUAUCGGGGACGUGGUUUUACUAUGUAAUUGUACGCGUCGAAUGUUCAUCAAUCGCGAAUUAAUCGUCAGUUUACCUGUGCGCGUGUGAUGUUCCAUCGGUCGUCGCUGAAUAUAAGCCGUGUUGGUCUACAUGUACACAGCGUGCAUGUUCGUCGGCACCCAGUUGUUGGUGCCCAGGGAAGAAGUUUGUGAGUGGCCGAACCAUGAAGUUAGCAAUAUCCAUAACGGAUGUGUUGGAGAAGCACGUAUUUUAAGGCAAGUUUUUAUUGCGGCAGAAUUUUCUAGCUCUUGAUAUUUUUAUAUAAAAAAAAUGUAUCUAUUGUUAAAUAUUGCCAAUAAAACACAAAGUAAUAGUACAA
Molecule: long non-coding RNA, 2313 nt
Organism: Dalotia coriaria
Lineage: Eukaryota; Metazoa; Arthropoda; Insecta; Coleoptera; Staphylinidae
Exons: 2
Source: RefSeq, a predicted model, not a curated record